This 292-nucleotide ribosomal RNA is filed under the name uncultured bacterium. RNAcentral's name for it is "partial 16S ribosomal RNA". It matches the Rfam family "Bacterial small subunit ribosomal RNA", at positions 502 to 793 of the family's 1533-position model. The record is from RNAcentral.
UCCGUGCCAGCAGCCGCGGUAAUACGGAGGGUGCGAGCGUUAAUCGGAAUUACUGGGCGUAAAGCGCAUGCAGGCGGCCUGUUAAGUCAGAUGUGAAAGCCCCGGGGCUUAACCUCGGAAUUGCAUUUGAAACUGGCAGGCUAGAGUCUUGUAGAGGGGGUAGAAUUUCAGGUGUAGCGGUGAAAUGCGUAGAGAUCUGAAGGAAUACCAGUGGCGAAGGCGGCCCCCUGGACAAAGACUGACGCUCAGAUGCGAAAGCGUGGGGAGCAAACAGGAUUAGAUACCCUGGGAG